UCAUAUUUUGGUAUUUUUUUCUUUUGUAUAAUCAGUGAAAAGAUUAUUGGGUUGGGAUUCCUAAUUUGAUAAGUUAAUUUUCUGAAGUUGAUUUAAAAUUGCGAUUCUGCAUUCUCUGCGGCAGAUUUUAAUUGCCUUCUUUUGCUUCGUUGAUGUGUGUUUCUGCCUUCCCCACUUAACUAAUCCAUGUUAGUAGCAGUGUGGAUUGUGUACUAUAGAAGAGUGCCGAAAGCACCUUCUUGAAUUGCUAAAAUUGUGUUUAGUGAUACCUAGUGGCUUGUAAAAAAAUAUUAUGCUUAGCGAAUCUUAGAAAGACAACGAGAAAGACUUUAGCUUAAAGAUAUGCUGUAUUUCAUGAAUGAGAAUAUGUAAAAGCUUAUUAAUUGACCUACAAUUGAGAAGAAGGUGAUACCAAAGUUACUGUUGCAACCUUGUCUGGUUUGCAUCUACAUAGAGCAGGAGUUAGCAACAGGUUGUUUGAGUAAUGGAUAAAUUUGAGAGUGUUGACAUGAAUGAUUAUCGUAAUCAUAUCUUGGAUGGAUGAAAGAGUUAUGGAAUAAAUGGAGAGGACACUUACAUGCAAAAUAUGUGAAGGAUAAGCCAAUCCAACAUGCUCUUAAGAAUAUUCCAAAGGGAGUAGAUAAGAAAGAAUGGGAGUGGUUAGUAAAGGAACAUUUUUCAUCAGAAAGUUUUCAGGCAAGAAGCAAUAGGAAUGCAGCAAACCGAGCUAAGUUGAAGAUGCUUCAUCAUAUUGGUAGCAAACCUAUUCGAGAGAUUAUUUAUCAAAAGGUACUAUGAUAAAAUAUCUAUAUUCUCGUAGCUAUGUAUUUGGCUUUGGGAGUGGAGUAAAGGCGAAAGACUUGAAAGGUGGCACUUCUUCAAAGGUUGAAUUACUGUCCGCGCUACGUUCAACUCGAGAGGAAAAUAAAUCUUUGAAUAAGGAAAAUAAUUCAUUACAGGACCGCUUGUCUACCUUAGAAGAUGAGAUGAAAGAAAUGAAGAAAAUAAGGAAAUCAUUCGCUGCUCAACAAUCACAUGUCUCGCCUACGACAUCGCCCGUUUCAACUGAAUGACCACUAUUUUUGUCUGCUGGCCAAGUUUUGAAGAUUGAAGCUACAAAAAUGCAAGUUUGGAUGACAUACAAGCUCAUUAUUACUUUGCUAGGAAUAUUAUGUAAAACUUGAUAUUGUUGUCUAACGCAAGAUGUUAGCUAAGCUUUUUUGUUAAGGUGUUGAGUAAAUAUUGAAACUAACAUCAUGGGAUGUUAACAUUGUAAUCAAUAUCUUUUUAUAUCAAGACUUUUUAGUAGCAA
Molecule: long non-coding RNA, 1312 nt
Organism: Nicotiana attenuata
Lineage: Eukaryota; Viridiplantae; Streptophyta; Magnoliopsida; Solanales; Solanaceae
Exons: 4
Source: RefSeq, a predicted model, not a curated record